RNAcentral lists this long non-coding RNA (2221 nucleotides) under Daucus carota (carrot). RNAcentral describes it as "long non-coding RNA (DCAR_LNC001217)". Lineage: Eukaryota; Viridiplantae; Streptophyta; Magnoliopsida; Apiales; Apiaceae. The record is from RNAcentral.
GGACAGGGGACUCUAAUGAUCCUCAUACUCAAACGCAAGCAGCAAGUUCUGCAGGUAAAAAACGAAAGUCUAUCAAGGAGAGGUCAGAAGUAUGGGAUCACUUCACAAAGUUUACGGAUGCAGAAGGGUGCAUGAGAGCAAGGUGCAACUAUUGUGAAAAGGUAUACCAUUCUGAUACUACUACAAAUGGCACUAGUGCACUCAAUAAACAUCUUAAAGUUUGCAAGAAACUCAUGCUUAGUGGUGAAUCUAAACAAACACAAUUGUCAUUACAAUCCGUAGGAGGAAACGAGGGCAUUCUUAAAAAAUGGCAUUUUGAUCAAAAAUUAUCUAGACAUAAAUUAGCCGCCAUGGUCAUUAUUGAUGAACUUCCGUUUAGAUUUGUCGAGGGUGAGGGGUUUAAUGAUUUUAUGAAAACCACUCAACCACUUUUUAAGAUGCCAUCUCGUUUUACCGUGGCAAGAGAUUGUUAUCAAAUCUUUUUGGAUGAAAAGAAGAAGUUGACUACAUACUUUAAGCUCUCGGGUCAAAGAGUUUGUAUUACCAUGGACACUUGGACUUCUAUCCAAAAGAUUAAUUAUAUGUGCAUUACGGCUCAUUACAUUGAUCAAAAUUGGAACUUGCACAAAAAGAUAAUUAACUUUUGUCCUAUAGAGGGUCAUAAGGGUGAACUCUUAGCUAGGGACCUUGACAUAAAAUUGAAAGAAUGGGAAAUUGCCAAAGUGUUUGCAAUUACGGUUGAUAAUGCAAGUUCAAAUUAUACUUGCAUUCAAUUGUUGAAGGAUAGAUUGUCUUCUAGGGGGCUGAUUUUUUAAAUGGAAAGUAUAUGCACAUGAGAUGUAUUGCUCACAUAAUUAAUUUGAUUGUGAAUGAUGGACUCCUUGAUAUGAAAGCAUCGAUUAAAAGGGUGAGAAAGGCGGUUAGAUUUGUGAAUCAAUCUCCGGCUAGACUAGCCAAAUUUAGGGAGUGUGUUGACUUACAAAAUAUUACUUGCAAAUCUAUGUUGUGUUUGGAUGUAAGUACAAGAUGGAAUUCCACUUAUUUGAUGCUUAAUGUUGCUCAAAAGCUUCAAAAGGCAUUUGAAUUAUUUGAGAGAAUGGAUCCAUACUUUGUACAUCAGCUUAAUGAUCAAGGGGGGGGUGCCUACAUCUUGGGAUUAGGGUAAUGUUAGAAGGUUGGUUGACAUGUUGGUUCAUUUUUAUGAACUUACCUUAAGGAUAUCGGGUUCUUUGUAUGUCACAUCCAAUGUAUUCUUUAAUGAGAUUAGCACGGUUAAUUUAUUGUUGAAAGAUUGGAUGAAGAGUGAUGAUAUUGAUAUGAGAUAUAUGGGUGAAAGAAUGAAGGAAAAAUAUGACAAGUAUUGGGGUGAUGUAAACAAAAUGAACAAACUCAUUUAUGUGGCGGUUGUCGUUGAUCCUAGAUACAAAUUGGAGUUUCUUGAUUUUGCACUUGUUGAAGAAUUUGGUAAUGAAAUUGGUUGGAAGUUGGCAAAUGACACAAAAAUGGUGAUGAAAGAGUUGUUUGACGAGUAUAAAAAGACUUGCCAACCUAAAAAUACUCAAGACAAUAAUCAAGGUAAAUCUUCAAAUAAGUCUUCAAGUACUUCAACUUCAAGAACACAAUCGGUAUUAGGUGAAAGAUUUAUGAGACAAAAAAUGGAGAGUGGGGAAAUAGAAUCCAAGUGUGAGUUAGAUAUUUAUCUUAAAGAGAGUGUUUAUGUCACGAAAAGUGAUGAUGAGUUUGAUAUUUUGAAAUGGUGGAAGGUUAAUUCAAGUAGGUUUCCAAUUCUCUCACAACUUGCACGUGAUGUGUUAGCAAUUCCAAUCUCCACCGUAGCAUCGGAGUCCGCUUUUAGUGCGGGUGGGAGAGUUCUUGAUCCUUAUAGGAAGUUCUUUGUCACCCAAAGUUGUGGAAGGUUUACUUUGUGCUCAAGAUUGGUUAAGAUCCUACAAACGUCCAAAGACAAUUGAAGAAGACUUCAAUGAUAUUGAAAAAUUCGAAGAAGGUAUAUCGUUUCUACAUUUUACAUUUAAACUAUUUAAUUCUUCAUAAACUAAUUUUUUUAUGUUUGCUUUUUCUACAGUAUUUUCUGCCCUUACAGUCGACAUAAAUGUUGAAGGUGCAACUAUAAACUUGGACAACGACAGCUAGGUAAUAUUCUUACUGAAACAGGAGUUCUACCUGCCUUCUGUUAGCCUAAGUUGGCACUCUGAUUUUUUGA